RNAcentral lists this ribosomal RNA (775 nucleotides) under Triticum aestivum (bread wheat). Its description in RNAcentral is "partial small subunit ribosomal RNA". Lineage: Eukaryota; Viridiplantae; Streptophyta; Magnoliopsida; Poales; Poaceae. The record is from RNAcentral.
GCGAAGUAACGGAAUAGAGAAAGUGAAAUAGAGAGAACGGAGUCAGAGAGACGGAAGGUCAGUCAGCGAGACGGAGGAGAGCGACCGGAGGGAGAGACUAGGUCUCGAUACCAACACCCGAGCCACUAAACAACCAAAGAACCCCUAGAAAAGCUGGAGAUAGACGACACAAUCGAGGACGAUAGACUCCGAAUCUGGGUGACAAGCUGGGUAGAACGUAUACCCCUUUACUCUACAGGUACUUAUAGUUAGUUCAGUUCUUUGAGUCUUUCUAACAAUCCUACUUCUUUGAACGCUGCUUAUUGUCGUUCUAGAAACAAACGUGUUACUUCUUCUAUAGUCAGUUGAUAUCCUACAUGAAAAGUUUCGUCAAGUGGCUACUAAUGGAGAGUUUGGUGGACGUACCAGUUCUCCGCUCCUUCCAUAAGUAAGUUGUGGGUACCAUAUUAUAACUUCAGAAGGACUUCUCCUGCUUCCAACCCGCCCGUUAAUAGGUAUCGGUGACCGGAUUUCGACGUUCCUGUAAAUUGUAGUGGCUUCCGAGUUAUAAACGGAAGGCGAAGACGUCAAAGGGUCUACUCUAAGUAAACAGAUAAAUGGCACAUACUACGAUGAAAGGUUUCCAAAAGCUACAACGUACAAUUUGAACCACGACAACACAUUGCCGCAUUGACUCACGACUUCGAUAGACUACAUUCAGCUAAUACUUUAGGACCAACGGCAAUAUGCUUAUACUUUAUAGACCACACAAAAUAUUCUUUAUAGUUAAACUAAU